GACGAACGCUGGCGGCGUGCUUAACACAUGCAAGUCGAACGGAAAGGCCCUGCUUUUGUGGGGUGCUCGAGUGGCGAACGGGUGAGUAACACGUGAGUAACCUGCCCUUGACUUUGGGAUAACUUCAGGAAACUGGGGCUAAUACCGGAUAGGAGCUCCUGCUGCAUGGUGGGGGUUGGAAAGUUUCGGCGGGUGGGGAUGGACGCGCGGCUUAUCAGCUUGUUGGUGGGGGAGUGGCUUACCAAGGCUUUGACGGGUAGCCGGCCUGGGAGGGUGACCGGCCACAGUGGCCUAGGGAAAGGACCAGGGGUCAAAAGGGGGCAAAGGGUGGGAAAUUUUGCCAAACGGACGGAGUCUGUAUAGAAAACCUCCGGGUGGGGAAGGCCGUCUUUCGGGUAGAAACCGCUUUCGCCUGUGACGAAGCGUGAGUGACGGUAAUGGGUAAAGAAGCACCGGCUAACUACGUG
RNAcentral lists this ribosomal RNA (467 nucleotides) under uncultured bacterium. Its description in RNAcentral is "partial 16S ribosomal RNA". It matches the Rfam family "Bacterial small subunit ribosomal RNA", at positions 28 to 507 of the family's 1533-position model. The record is from RNAcentral.